GUUGUGCCUCUCACCCUGGGUUAUGAGUGCCAUCCACUUUGCCAUCAUCUGGAGGUCUGUACUAAAAUCCACGGCGAUGGACUGGGCGUCAUGCAGAGUUUUAUGGUCAUCAGGUCUCAGCUGUAAGGAAUGAAUUCUGCUGGCCCCCAGCUUCCAGAUUGUCAGGGAGCUUAUCCUGAUAGCAAACCAGUCUGAUUCUUCGUCCUUCCACCCAGUGAUCUUGGUAAUCCCCUCUGGAGCCAAGCCAAACAGGCCUGAUCUCUCCUGGACAGGAUAGCUCUUCAGACAGGAAGGCAGGGGACGUGUCCCCUCCUCCACCCCCGAGUCUUCUGUAAGCUAAAUACCCCCCAUUCCUCAUGCGGCUUGAACUGAGACUGUUCCAGGAACAGGUAACCACUCUUCGAUUCCUGCCUUACUCCUGGGCACUUGAGUGCCAAGAGAUCCUCCUCAGCGUCUUAUGGGUGGAAAAGACAAUUCUCCACUCUCUCCACAGGAGCAGCCGGAGGCUUAGUACCAGGUGUUGGUGGAAUCCCAGGCAUUGGAAGCGUUGCAGGUGUUCCAGGUGUCGGUGGUGUCCCAGGAGCAGAAAGCCCAGCUGCAGCGGCCAAAGCAGCAGCUAAAGCAGCCAAGUAUGGGGCCAGGGCUGUCCCUGGAGUUGGAGUUCCUGGCUUUGGUGUGGGCCCUGGAGUUGGAGUUCCUGGCUUUGGGGUUGGCGCUGGAGCUGUUCCUGGUGCGGGGGUCGUUCCCGGAGGUAUCCCCGGGACAGCUCUCUCCCCUGCUGCUGCCGCCGCUGCCGCCAAAGCAGCUAAGUAUGGAGCUGGUGGCCUUGGCGGUCUGGGAGGAGGCUUGGUACCUGGUGUGGCUGGCGUCCCAGGAGCAGGAAUUGGAGGUCUAGGAGGUGUUCCAGGAGCAGUUUCCCCAGCUGCAGCCGCAGCGGCCAAGGCUGCUGCCAAAGCUGCCCAGUAUGGCCUUGGAGGAGUUGGAGGUCUGGCAGGCAUCGGAGGGGUCCCAGGCAUUGGAGGCAUCGCAGGGGUCCCUGGAGUGGGCGGAGUAGGAGGUCCAGCUGCAGCCGCUAAAGCCGCUGCCAAAGCAGCUAAGUACGGUGCUGCUGGUGGGGUUGGCCUCGUGCCAGGAAUUGGAGGUUUGCCAGGGACCCGAGUGCUGCCAGGGGCAGGUGUCCCAUCAUUUGGCUAUGGACUUUCACCUAUUUUCCCAGGUGGCGGAGCUGGUGGACUGGGAUUUGGUGGAAAACCUUCCAAACAGUUUGGUGGUGCCCUUGGAGCUCUGGGAUAUCGAGGUGGGGCUUGUUUGGGGAAAUUGUGUGGCCGGAAGAGAAAGUAAAUCUUCCCAGGACACCCGACCCGAGACCUCAUGAACUUUGGUGCUACUGCCUAGUCUAGAAUGUAUACCUUGAGUGACUCCCUCUCCCCCUCCCCUCCCCCCUCUUCCCCACCCUUCUCCCAGGGUCAGAUCCUUCUCACUGGAGUGUUCCUACAGCCACCCACCCAUCCGGUGGGGGUAGGGGAUGGGGUGGAGGCACGGGACCACGGGGCAAGCAAACACAAGAACCAGGGGUCAGCUUGGAAUUCUGUCCCCUUCCCUAAAGGAGCUUGGGUAAGGGGAGGGAUCAGAUGCCCUCCUCAUCACCACCACCACCCCAUUCCCACCCAGGAGCUCUCCCCUCUGCGUUCAUGAUCUUGAGGGAAAUAUGGUGCUACUUGUUGGUGCUUAUAACUUUCUUGGGGGUGAGGGAGGAGGGAAGAGGGGGUCCCCUGGAUAAGCCCCUCACCUGGGGGCUCCUCUAAACACAGCCCUGGAGAUUUUCAAGACAUCCAACCCUACCCCCACCAGGAAAGGUCAGCCCAGGACCCACAGUCAUGCUCUCCCACUGGGAUGAGCAGCCUUUGGGGUUGGGCCUGCUUGCCCUACCUUGUACCCGAGCACUUUAAAUCAGCCUCAGUCCUGGUUGCGAGCCAUCCAGAUCUGGCCACCUCUCCCCACCACGCCAGAGGGCUGUCCCUUCAGUCUCUCCCUUGCUGCUCCUCACAUCCAUCCAUGGAGCCAAUAUACCUGAAGACUGGGAACAGCCAUGCCCCUGAUCUUUUUGGAAUUUAUCUUUCCAUCCAUCCGUCCACCCCUCACCCAAAAAAAGUUUACCACCCAGUCUAGCAAGAGGCUCCUGCCCCAGCAGACUUGAAUGUCUUUCAGUGAUGCCCUCCACCUUGUAGGACCUGUCCUGGUCUUCCCCACCUCUACCCCUCGCCCCAGCCCUGCCACCACAUACACUCACACACCCCACUGGCAAGGGGAGACCCCUGCCAUCGGGAGUGUGGGAACGCAUGCAUGUACUCACCAUUGACAGCGACUCCAUCCCCGCCAGGCCUGGGACAGCCAGCACUGCCUAGAACCCCAAGAGGCCCGAGGAUGGGGCUGCGGCGGGAGGGGAACCAGAGGGAAAUGAGGACCCAGAGCUCCCCGCCUAUCCCUGGUAUAUCUCACACAGCAGUACUGUAUCCUCAGUCCCUUGAGCCCCUGGGCGUCGGAGCAACUCUUCCCAACAUUCAGGCCCUGUCUCCGUGUCUCGCUGUGAUAGAUCAAUAAAUAUUUUAUUUUUUGUCCUGGAUACUUGGGG
Long non-coding RNA from Vombatus ursinus (common wombat), 2632 nucleotides. The record is from Ensembl. NCBI's taxonomy places the organism in Eukaryota, Metazoa, Chordata, Mammalia, Diprotodontia, Vombatidae.